RNAcentral lists this ribosomal RNA (468 nucleotides) under uncultured bacterium. RNAcentral describes it as "partial 16S ribosomal RNA". It matches the Rfam family "Bacterial small subunit ribosomal RNA", at positions 28 to 507 of the family's 1533-position model. The record is from RNAcentral.
GACGAACGCUGGCGGCGUGCUUAACACAUGCAAGUCGAACGGAAAGGCCCUGCUUUUGUGGGGUGCUCGAGUGGCGAACGGGUGAGUAACACGUGAGUAACCUGCCCUUGACUUUGGGAUAACUUCAGGAAACUGGGGCUAAUACCGGAUAGGAUCUCCUGCUGCAUGGUGGGGGUUGGAAAGUUUCGGCGGUUGGGGAUGGACUCGCGGCUUAUCAGCUUGUUGGUGGGGUAGUGGCUUACCAAGGCUUUGACGGGUAGCCGGCCUGAGAGGGUUACCGGCGACAUUGGGACUGAGAUACGGACCAGAAUGCAACGGGAGGCAGCAGUGGGGAAUAUUGCAAAAUGGGAGGAAGCCUGAUGCAGAAACGCCGCGUGCGGGAUGACGGCCUUCGGGUUGUAAACCGAUUUCGAAUGUGACGAAGCGUGAGUGACGGUAAUGGGUAAAGAAGCACCGGCUAACUACGUG